UAGCUCAAUUGGUAGAGUGCUUGCCUCACAUGCACAAGGCCCUGGGUUCAAUCCCCAG
RNAcentral lists this transfer RNA (58 nucleotides) under Marmota marmota marmota (Alpine marmot). It matches the Rfam family "tRNA", at positions 8 to 63 of the family's 71-position model. Rfam says of the family: Transfer RNA (tRNA) molecules are approximately 80 nucleotides in length. Their secondary structure includes four short double-helical elements and three loops (D, anti-codon, and T loops). Further hydrogen bonds mediate the characteristic L-shaped molecular structure. tRNAs have two regions of fundamental functional importance: the anti-codon, which is responsible for specific mRNA codon recognition, and the 3' end, to which the tRNAs corresponding amino acid is attached (by aminoacyl-tRNA synthetases). tRNAs cope with the degeneracy of the genetic code in two manners: having more than one tRNA (with a specific anti-codon) for a particular amino acid; and 'wobble' base-pairing, i.e. permitting non-standard base-pairing at the 3rd anti-codon position. The record is from Rfam by way of RNAcentral. RNAcentral also lists the same sequence under 5 other names. Lineage: Eukaryota; Metazoa; Chordata; Mammalia; Rodentia; Sciuridae.